This is a non-coding RNA of Schizosaccharomyces pombe (fission yeast), 544 nucleotides long. NCBI's taxonomy places the organism in Eukaryota, Fungi, Ascomycota, Schizosaccharomycetes, Schizosaccharomycetales, Schizosaccharomycetaceae. The record is from the annotation of a GenBank genome assembly.
UGAGUAAAUCCAAAAGAUUGUUUAUACGAUUAUCUACGAGAAAUGAGUUGUAAAGAACUUGAGCCGUUUCGGGGUGCGACGAUUUAGUAUUGCAGAAUUCUUGGAUGACAAGGAUAAAUACUCGUAAGCUCAUAAUCACAAGUUUUUCAAAAUUUUUUGAGCUCUCUUCAAACUUUUCUUUGUAUGAAGAAAGAUGAGAACUGAUUUGACCCAAAAAAUCAUAGUGCAAUGAAAUGUAAUCAAUAGUAGCUGGAAACUUAGUCAAGCAUGGACUAUAGAAAGAAAAAUCAAAGAAUGGCUUAUUGAAUAAGAAAGCAUGUGCAAAAGCCAUUUCUAAGCACUCCCCAACUACUAUCGGAGACCGCGAGGAUUGAAGCAUUGUACCAAGCAUACUCAAAAGUUUUCGCUGAUGAACAGCACAAAAAGCUAACAUACGCUCACUAAAUUCACUUUCACUAGGAUUUUGGAAACCAAAAACAACCAACCGUCUACAUGCCUUAAGCGUGUAUCGAGAUAUUUGCAUAUAAGACAACAAAGUAGAAUC